CGAACGGGUGAGUAAUACAUCGGAACGUGUCCGCUCGUGGGGGACAACCAGCCGAAAGGUUGGCUAAUACCGCAUGAGUUCUACGGAAGAAAGAGGGGGACCCGCAAGGGCCUCUCGCGAGCGGAGCGGCCGAUGACUGAUUAGCCUGUUGGUGAGGUAACGGCUCACCAAAGCAACGGUCAGUAGCUGGUCUGAGAGGACGACCAGCCACACUGGGACUGAGACACGGCCCAGACUCCUACGGAAGGCAGCAG
RNAcentral lists this ribosomal RNA (254 nucleotides) under uncultured bacterium. RNAcentral describes it as "partial 16S ribosomal RNA". It matches the Rfam family "Bacterial small subunit ribosomal RNA", at positions 99 to 354 of the family's 1533-position model. The record is from RNAcentral.